GCGUCCUAGCCAUACGUGAAGAAAUAUCGAGUUUUUAGAAAGAGAAAAGGCGUUGCAGAAAAUGGGUGAGGUAAUUGAAACAGAUGGAGUUGGUUUCAUCAGUUUGCCCAAGUGGUGGAGGGUCCUUUAUGUGGAAUGGAUAUCUCAUACUCGAGUGAUGAAGAGAGGUUAGUUCGUAGUAAUGGAGAUUCUCAAGAAGGAAUGGGGUUGAGGUCGUUGUGACAGCACCACUGAGCGUCAACCUCAGCUAUCGGCCUAGGUUUCCAUUCUUACUUACGCAACCACUAACUAUUUCUGAAAAACAAUGGGGCCGCCUAGGAGCACGCCUCCGACUUUUUGAGCUUUGAGUUUCGGGAUUUUAUUCAUGCUGCUUGUUUGGAUAUGUUUCGUUAUCUAAGAGGGGAUUGCUCCCACUGGUUUCUCUCUCACUUUCACUUAGAUUAUUAUCAAGGACAUACGAGGGGAUUCUGUCUUGGUUUUUUUUACAUACAGGUGAUUUUCAGUUUUGUGCAGACUGCAGAAAUGGAAACCAAUUCCAUA
Amborella trichopoda is the source of this 540-nucleotide non-coding RNA. Lineage: Eukaryota; Viridiplantae; Streptophyta; Magnoliopsida; Amborellales; Amborellaceae. The record is from RefSeq and is a predicted model, not a curated record.